RNAcentral lists this long non-coding RNA (1197 nucleotides) under Betta splendens (Siamese fighting fish). RNAcentral's name for it is "lncRNA (ENSBSLG00000024169.1)". The record is from RNAcentral. Lineage: Eukaryota; Metazoa; Chordata; Actinopteri; Anabantiformes; Osphronemidae.
AUGAAGACAGACGUGGAGACGCGGCCGGAGCCGGGCUGCCAGGAACCGAUGCAGGUGCGGCCGGAGCCAGGCCGCCAGGAACCGAUGCAGAUGCGGCCGGGGCCGGACCACCAGGAACCGAUGCAGGUGCGGCCGGAGCCGAGCCGCCAGGAACCGAUGCAGGUGCGGCCGGAGCUGAGCCGCCAGGAACCGAUGCAGAUUCUGCAGGCGCCAGACCACCAGGAGCGGAGACGGGCGUGGCCGGGAUCGGACCACCAGGGGCUGAGACGAGCGUGGCCGGGACCGGACCGCCAGGAGCUGAGACGAGCGUGGCCAGGACCGGACCACCAGGGGCUGAGACGAGCGUGGCCGAGACCGGACCACCCUGAGCAGAGACGAGCGUGGCCGGGACCGGACCACCAGGAGCUGAGGCAGAUGCGAUCUGUGCCAGAUCAACCGGAAUCGCUGCAAACGCGGCCGGCGCUGGACCACCAGGAGCUGCACCUGCACACUUUGCACCCAAAGAACACAGGAACCAGGAGCGGGCCGACCACCUCCUCCGGGAGGGCGGCAGAAGACAGAGCUGGACCGACCUCCUCCUGGAGGCCGGCAGGGGCUGCAGCAGACGCUGCGGCAGGAGCGACCCCCCCUGGGGAUCGUCGGGAGCUGUGGCGGGAGCUGCGGCAGGCGCUGCGGCAGGAGCGACCCCCUCCUGGGGAUCGUCGGGAGCUGCGGCCUCCGAGGAGCCGACAGUGGCUGGAGCGACCUCGGCAGGGAGGUCGACAGGAACCGCAGCUGGAGCUGCGGCAGGGACGACCCCCUCCUGGGGGUCGACAGGAGCUGCAACAGGAGUUGCGACCGGCGCGACCUCCUCCUGGAGGUCCGCAGGAGCUGCAGCGGGCGCGACCUCCUCCUGGAGGUCCGCAGGAGCUGCAGCGGGCGCGGCCUCCUCCUGGAGGUUCGCAGGAGCUGCAGCGGGCGCGACCUCCUCCUGGAGGUCCGCAGGAGCUGCAGCGGGUACGACCUCCUCCUGGAGGUCGGCGGAAACCGCGGCAGGAACUGCAGCCGGCGCCGCCUCCUCCUGGAGGUCGGCGGGAACCGCGGCAGCAACUCCAGCUGGCGCGACCUCCUCCUGGAGGUCGGCGUGGACCGCGGCAGCAACUCCAGCUGGCGCGACCUCCUCCUGGAGGUCGUCGGGAACCGCUACUCCGAGGCUGA